UUACAGGAUCUUUUUCUCACAUCUCGGGCCAAAUGGGAAUUAAACCAUGGUCCUCGAAUUGGACACUAUGGAUAUGCUGACCUCUCAGGAGAUGACAUUGGAGUCACAUAGGAUUUGCCUUUUCAUUAUCUUUUACGUAGGCAAUCAGAGGUGGCAGGUGCAUCAGUGGUGGAGGCUGCUGGAGACUGUAAGGAGACAGUACUUUUGACUUGUCAUUGAUUAAAAUGAAGCUGAGCAACACAGCAAUCGACGGAAUGGCAAUCACACAGAAAGAAAAUCCAACUUAACUUGUGCUUCCAUUUAUAAACUGAUUGUAAAGUUGUAAAUAUCUGUAAAUUUAUUUUUUAUUAAAAUAGUUGCGUUUUGAAAGAUUUACUCGAAUGACACCUGUCACUGUAUUCUAGCUCUUCUAUGUUUAAAUUUAUAAAAUAUUUUUAGAUGUUAUAAUGAACUUUAAAAUAUGUUGAUGGAAUAGAACUUGGUUUAAAUGAUAUUUUGCCUUUUUUGAAACAAAACAAAAAAUCAUGUUUAGUAUUUUAAUUAUGUACCAGUAAUCUUUAAUAAUUAAAACCAAACCAAAAUUAUAUUGUGUCUUUAAUAUGCUGUUGAAAACAAUAUAGUGAAUGUGCUAAUUUAACAUUAAGUGACCAUCAAUUUACUUAAGUUCAUAGGCAUUGUUUAGCUAAUCAUCAUGACAAUACAAAAUCUUGCACAUUUUCUCCUAUAAACAAUUUUAUAAUCUAAUCACAAAGCUGGAGAUGCUGGAAAUGUGAUAUAAAAACAAGAAAUGCAAAAUAUAUUCAAUAGGCAAGGAAUCUGUAUAGAAGGAAAUAGUUAACAUUUCAAGUCAAUAAUCUUUCAUCAUAAUCUGAGAAUGUUAUAUAUGCAGGAGAUUUUUUUCCCUUCUUCGAAUUCCAGAGUGCAAUUGUAAAACCUAUGUCAUGAUGCAGGGUGUUAAUUCAGAUUCUAGAGUGGGAAGAUAUAUAUACUAUUCAUUGUAUAUUUGUUAGAUCACAUCAAGAUUAGAUUAUAAAUUAUAUUGGUUAUUUGAAGUCCAACCAUAGUUUCUCACUUCUCGUUCACUUCAUGAUGUUUUUCUCAUUUCUAUUUUGUCAGUAUCUUGAGAUUCUCUGAUGUACUAAAGAUUCUCUGAUGUAUGGGAUAGUGUAAUGAUGUUGCUUUCCAGAG
This is a long non-coding RNA of Leucoraja erinaceus (little skate), 1188 nucleotides long. RefSeq lists it as uncharacterized. The record is from RefSeq and is a predicted model, not a curated record. The transcript has 3 exons. Lineage: Eukaryota; Metazoa; Chordata; Chondrichthyes; Rajiformes; Rajidae.